GAAUAGCUAAUACUUCUAUCACUAGCACAAUCACAGGAGACAAUUAAAGUGUUGGUAUAUGCUUUCCCCUUUUCCCCCACCAUUCUCACAUUUUAAAAAGAAGCUAUGCUACUACUGUCUACAUUGUCCAGGGUAUAUUAUCCUUUCAGCUACAUUUGUCCAGGGUCUGUAGAUAACUAUGUCCUGUGCCCCAUAAGCCUUGAGGCUGCUGGUCCAUUUUGUCCCUCUGAGGCUCUUUUCUUUAGUGAGUUCCUAGGGAGGACUUAGGAUAACAGUAAUUUGAAAGUAGUUUAUUUUCCCAGUAAUCAGAAAUA
This 314-nucleotide long non-coding RNA is filed under the name Bos taurus (domestic cattle). RNAcentral's name for it is "long non-coding RNA NONBTAT024807". Lineage: Eukaryota; Metazoa; Chordata; Mammalia; Artiodactyla; Bovidae. The record is from RNAcentral.